Callorhinus ursinus (northern fur seal) is the source of this 4929-nucleotide RNA transcript. It is a transcript of the gene named caspase 10, with no coding region annotated. The record is from RefSeq and is a predicted model, not a curated record. Lineage: Eukaryota; Metazoa; Chordata; Mammalia; Carnivora; Otariidae.
UCCAGUUUUCACUUGCAGAGGCAGGAAGUCUUGGGUUCUCUUCCCGCGCAAAUGGGAGUUUCUCUGGAACUUGGAUUACGCAGAGGAUUCUAAUUUCUUUAAAACUUUAUUUUCAGGCAAUUUCCCCCGGAACCGUUUACCUCCAGAGGAUCAACGGAAUUGGAUCUGAAGGCUGGCCAUGACAUCUCAAGAUCAAAAUUCGGGUUUCCGUUCAGAUGAUAAUGGUCAAUCGAGCUUCCUUGGGAAGCUUCUGACUAUUGAUUCAAAGCUGGGGAACCAAGAUGUGGAGGGCUUAAAGUUUCUCUGCCGAGACUGCAUCUCCCACAGGCAGCUGGAGAAGUCCAGCUCGGCCUCAGACAUAUUUGAUCAUCUAUUGGAAGAGGAGCUGCUGAGUGAGGAAGAUCCCUUCUUCCUAGCGGAACUCCUCUACAUAAUCAAGCAGAAAUCGCUGCUGCGGUACCUCAACCAAAGCAAAGAGCAAGUGGAGAGUUUGCUGCCUACCCGAGGGAGGGUCUCUCUGUUCAGAAACCUGCUCUAUGAACUGUCAGAAAGCAUUGGCUCAGAGAACUUAAAGGACAUGAUCUUCCUUCUGAGGGAAUCGAUUCCCAAAAUCCAGAUGACCUCUCUAGGUUUCCUGGCAUAUCUGGAGAAACAAGGUCUAAUAGAUGAAGAUAAUCUGAGGUUACUGGAGGAUCUCUGCAGAAGAGUUGUACCUAACCUUAUGAGAAAGAUAGAAAAAUAUAAAAGAGAGAAAGCCUCCCAGGUAGUGACACCUCCAGUAGACAGAGGACCUGAGUCAUUGCAUCAAAGAAAGGAAGAACCAUUUUCCCGUUCAGACAUUGAAGAGUUGUUAGAAGCAUUACCAGCCUUACCGAAGGCAAGUGUGUACAGGAUGGAUCGGAAACACAGAGGCCACUGUGUUGUUGUCAAUAACCACAAAUUUACCUCAAUGUUGGAUAGACCAGGGACUGAUAAAGAUGCUGAGCACUUGAGGCAUGUGUUUGAGUGGCUUGGGUUCAGUGUACGUGUAUAUGAUAAUGUGACCAAAGGACAUCUGGACAAUGUUCUGCAGGAAUAUAAGUGUCAUCCAGGCCAUUCUGAUGGAGACUGCUUUGUGUUCUGUGUUCUGACCCAUGGGAAAUUUGGAGCUGUCUACUCUUCAGAUGGGACCCUUGUUCCCAUUCAGGAGAUCAUGUCUCACUUCACAGCCCAGCAAUGCCCUGGUCUGGCUCAUAAGCCCAAACUCUUUUUUAUCCAGGCCUGUCAAGGUGAAGAGAUACAACCUCCUGUUUUCAUUGAAGCAGAUGCUGUAAAUCCUGAGCGUGUACCCCCUUCCCUUCAGGACAGUAUUCCCGACGAGGCGGAUUUCCUUCUUGGCCUGGCCACGGUCCCUGGCUACGUAUCCUUUCGGCAUGUGGAGAAAGGCAGCUGGUAUAUUCAGUCUCUGUGUAAUCAUCUGAAGAGCUUGGUCCCAAGAAAUGAAGAUAUCUUAUCCAUCCUCACUGCUGUCAACAAUGAUGUGAGUCAACAAGCAGACAGAGAAGGAACAAAGAAACAAAUGCCCCAGCCCGCUUUCACACUACGGAAAAAGCUAGUAUUCCCUGUGCCACAGGAAAAACUUUAAUAGUAGAGAGUUCUCAUUGACUCUUGGACUUGAAAGGAGGCUUUGGUCAUCUAUUCCAGUCUCCCACCCAUCACAGGAAUCAAUGAUAGAUGCUCCUGCAGGAGGGAGGUUGAAAGUCCUCUCCUUGAGGCCUUUAUUUCCAGAUGAAGAAGUUGAGGCCCCAGGAGGCAAAGUGAUUUGCUACAGUCCCCCAGAUGGUUACUGUUUAUAGGAUUUUAUUUCCCACUUGAGUGAACUGGAAUAUCAUGGACAUAGUGGGGCUUUAGGAACAUUUCCUUGGGUAUGCAGAUGUUCAUGAAAGAUGUCAGGGAAGGAAGAAAAAUAACUCUCAGUGAUGCCUGAUUUUGCAGUUAUUCAUGUGAAAGUUGCAUUAAUUUAUGGUGUAUUUGCUAUGAGAACUACUCAUAAGAAGUUUUUUAUAAUAGUAAUUAUGUAGAUGGAGCUAGUCAUUAUGUGGAUUUGAAUGUAGCUUGACCAAGGAAAGGAGUCUAAUAGAUAUGUCAGAAUCAUCUUCCAAAACCAGUGUUUAUACAAGUCAAAGCUAACCGCUGGUGAUUACAGUCUUUGCCCAAUUGAAUAUACACAGCUUUUGGCCAUUUCAUAAAAGCCUUCUCUGGGAGUGAAGGAUGGUGUGAUUCAAAACAAAAAAGCAAAGAAUCUGGAGAGGGAAGCCUUAGGUUUCCGUUUGGCCUUGUGACUCCCUUGCUCUGAGACACUAAAUCAAGCUAGUUUUUCGAGCCUUAUCUAUGAAGUAGAGAAAAAUGACCUAUUAAAGAUAAGGAUUUAGGGGAAUGUAUAAUAUAUGUAUAUCAUAAUAAAUAUAUAUCUCUCCAUUUAACUCCAGUUGUUGCGAGGUACUAUAAGACCGUUAGGUGGCAGAUGCCUCUGGCAGUAACCUCAAUGGAAACAGCAGAGUUUGAGUUCCUUUGCGUCUAAUUCCAGCUGAGUUUUAGCCGCAGAUCAACCCUAGCAAUCCCCACCCGUGUCCUCUGAGUGAAGCGCUGGUUCUUCCCUCACUGAUCACAGUGUCCCCAGCAGUAAUAGGCUAACUCUUGGCUCUGAGUCCAGUUGGACAAAACACCGCUAAGGAGCUCUCCUUCAGCAGCAGCCUCUGGGGUUCGAUGCUGAAGUGCCCCGGUCCUGUGGGUCUAGUCCAUAUUGCCCUUGUGCUGGAGCUUAGUGCUUAUGCAAGGUUAAAUUCUGGAAUCAGGAAACGAGCCCACGAGCUUUCUUUUUAGACUUCUCCAGCAAGCACUGGAGUCCCUAGACGUUGAUGACUCUAAGUCAUGGACCUAUGCGGACACCAGGAACACACCCAUCCUUCAAUCAUUUCUCCUAAACGGAAUGUGUACACACUUGUCCCUUGUGUGUGUGUGUGUGUGUGUGUGUGUGUGUGUGUGUGUGUGUGUAUGGGAAUUGAGAGCAAAACACUAGAGGUGAUUUGGUCCCAGGUAUUUGGCAGUGGCCAUCGUCAGCCCAGACAUUUAUGAAAGAAGUGUGCAGAUUGAGUGAGGUCUCUGUAUAUUUUGCGUAGUUGUGCUCAACCUACAAGAGCUAUGGUUAAUUUUUUCUUUCUUUUCUGCUUUUUUUUUUCUUGAAAGUUUAGCUUCUACCAAAACAAUGAAGGAUGAGGAAACAGUUUAUAGAAUAUUAUGCAAAUGUUAGUUGUUUAAGAAUGAUACUACUGGUAUAACUGUUAUUAGAGAUGCUAGUCGCCGGAGCAUCCUCCUGAUCUCUGCUGCAGGGCCUCGCCAUGCGAGUGGGCAGGUUUGAUAUUGCCAGGGUUCCCCGUAGCCAGUGCUCAGGUAAUGCAGACCUGCAUUACGGUGAUACGGUGUGGUUACUGAUCUAUCAGAACAGCCAUUGACCAGUAUAACACUAUGGGGAAUGCCACUGAAGAGCAGCUCUUUAUCAGUGAUCCUGUCUCCACUGAGGUAGACCAAACGAGAAGCUGACCUCAUUUGGUAGAUAACUUCUGUGCCAUACUUGAGUCCUAAAAUCUUCCAGGACCGAUACUUUCUGAAUGAUUUAGUCAUGUUGUUCUUAACCUGGAAUUCUUGGGUCCUUGGAUGUUUAUGGAUUUAUUCUCAGGGUGUAUGAGUCUUCCACCUUCCGUUUGAAAUGCCUCAAUUUCUUUUUGGUGAUAAUCUUCUAUUAAUAGAGGUGGAUCCUGGCUCUUCUGCAUGAUCUCUUUGUAUUUGAGCAUUGACAAACAACUUUUGUGUCCACAUCCUGGUGCCCACGGGAGUGAUGAACUUUAUAUUGAACUUUUUAAUGUAGCACGGAUUAGGGUUCAGGGCUAGAGGUCCUCAGACCUGUUGUCAGGUACCAGCAGUUAAUCUACCUGAAACCUGCUCCAGUCCAUCCUCUUAAGUCAUGACAGGCUCCUAGUCCAUCAUCCCUCAGCCCCUGCUGAACUCAGCGGAGGGAACUCACACUACACCCAAAAUCAUGGAUUUGGGAGCUUGGAAGGACAGUGGCUAGGGAACCCGUGGUCCAGCCUUCAGGGUCAAAUGGCUUACGCAAGUCUUACAGCUCUUAGUGCAGGAUUUGCAAUUGUGUGUAUCUCCGGCUUUGCCAAACAAUUGUCACUAUCUUCCCGUGAAGUACAUGUUGCUUGUGACAAGUUAUUUGACUUUGUUUCUGGUAGGGUCUGGCUCUCCUCAAAAGUCUGCAGUUUGCCUUUAAGAACCGGGUAAGAAUAUCGCAUGUGUGGUAAGGACACAUUUGUAUCUUUAAACAGCAGCCAAAUUCCUGAAAAUGGAACCCUUUUUAAAAAGUACUAGGAGAAAUUCCUUGUUUGAAGAAAGACUGAUUUGCCAGCAUAAACAACCACUUUGUAACAUAACUUUUGCAGAUAUGAAUUUUUAAGAGAAUUUUUCCUCUUUUAAAAUUUUUAAAUUAUAUGAAUUUUUACUUUUUAAAUCUAUUUUUGAAUAAGUAAUACCUUUACAUUGCUCAAAGAGAAUACAAAAAGAUAUUCAAGAUUAGUCUUGCCUGCCUUUUUGUCCACCAGAUGCCCAGUCCUCCCACCUCUGAAUCCCAGAGGUGAUCUCAGGAUUUGUUAACGCAGAUGCAAAUACAACAAAUACAAAUAUAUGUGUAUUUUAAAGGAGGCAUUUCUUGAAACAAAGGACAUGCACUGUGAAACUCAAAACCCUCAUUUGGUCUCAUUUUAAAUGAUUCUGUAAGAUGCCUGGAAAUACUUGUGCAACUCUACAGUUGGAAUAACUUGAUGAGUUUUGUGGACUGAGUACCUGUAAAUAGUAGUAAUUGACCAAUAAAGGAUUUUUUUUUCCUUUUUA